CAACACUAACGGAAACAUCAACGUGCAAAGCAAAGACGGACAGACGCUUUCUGUCUCGACUGGUCCCACUUUGAAACAUAUUUGAGCGAAAGAGUUGAAAAUAAAUAGAAAAUCAGCGCCCAAAUGCGGCUACGUGAUAUGUGCAUACAACAACAACAGCAACAGUAGCAGCAGCAGCAGCAGCAGCAGCAGCAGCAGCAACAGCAGCAGCAGCAGCAGCAGCUCCAUGUUGCAGUUGCCAUAGCUACAUAUAUAGCACGCAAAAUCUGUUCUAUCAGCUUACACAUGCUCAUGCUUCAGUGGCAAUAUGUACGAGCAGCAGCUACAGCAGCAACAGCAACAACAACAGCAGCAGCAGCAGCAGCAGCAGCAGCAGGAACAACAACAUUUGUGACAGCCGCGUGCCAAAAAUUGCCGAUUUUAACAAGCGAAUUGCAACAGCGACAGCAGCGACAACUAUUGCUAACUAAAGCAACAACAACGACAACAACAGCAACAACAAUAACAGCAGCAGCAACAACAACGAACAUUGCAACCAGGCGCCACAAACUAACCAAAUGUCAAUUCAAAAGCUAAACGAGAACGCCAACUCGGGCUAUGUUAGCUCCGAGGAGACGGACUCGCUGCUUGUAUCGAACCCAACGAAGGGCGGGCGAACCGCAUUGCUGCGGCAGGUGAAGAGCAGCUCGGCAAAUGGACCAACAUCGAACAAUAUGGCUUCCACGUCCGGUGGCAAACCGACGCUGAUGCGUCAGGAUCGGACAUCAACAUAUCUGACAAGUCCGCAGCAGUCGCAGCAUAUCCGCAUGGGCUCCGAGGAGAGUAUGCGCGGCGGGAUUGGUGUUGGGCACAACGAUGAGGAUAUUGAGCAGGGGCUGCGUGCCGCCAUUGUGCCUGACAUUGAAGUACACGAAGAGGACCAAGAACUAACACAAAACACAUCAACAACAACAACAAUAUCGGCAUCGGCCAGCUUGGCUGGCGGUGCUCUGACCAAGCAGCAACAGCCGCACCAGCAGGAACAGCAGAUCCAGCAGCAGCAGCAGCAGCAGCAACAGAAACCGACCAUAUCAAUUAUGAAUUUAAGCCUGAAACCGCACGACGGCACGGGAUCGGGAACGGGUACGGGAAUGGGAACGGGAACGGGCACCGGCUCGAGUCAUCCCAAUUUGGGCACAUCAUCAUAUCAGAAUCUAUCAUCCAGCAUACCGCCAAGUGCGCCCAGUCGUUGUCGAGCCUGCCGCAAUUGCAGUCGACGGGCAUCGACGACGCCGAUCUCGACGGGCGGCCAGAUCGAUCGAUCUGCCUCGCGGGACAGUGUGAAAAGUGCCUUCCAACAGGGUAACCUGACCAGCUCGAUGGCCAUAUGCAUAUCAAACUCAGCCCUCCAACAGCAGCAGCAUCAGCAGCUGCAGCACCAGCUGCUGCAGCAGCAUCAGCAUCCGCAUCACCAGCAGCUGCAUCAGCAACAAUUGCAGCUGCAUCAGCAACAAUUGCAGCUGCAUCAUUAUCAACAGACACAGGUGCCGCCAGUGUUAAUCACAUCAUCGCCGACAAACGGUUCGCGAAUCAUCAGGCAGAGCUCACAGCCGGAGUCAAGCACCACGGCCAUUUGCUGUGGCUCGCACAGCUCCUGCGGCCACUCCCACACGGUACCGAAUGUGUCCCUCAAGCAGCUGCGGGAAAGCACCACAGAUGGCAUUGCGGGCAUUGCCGCCGAUUCCCUGAGGAUCAAUGGCGGCAUGCGUCCAUUCAAACAGCUCCGCAAGCCAGCGUCGACACUUUCAAUUCCUGGCUCGAUGAAAACACCUUCCAUUGCGAACCGGGAACAGAUCUCAUCUGGAUGCAACGAAGAAGCGGCCGAGGCACUUGUGGGUAUCCACUCAGACUACCCUAGGUAUGAAAUGUAUAUGGAAGAACGUGCGCUUACUGGCGGCAAUACGUCCAGGAAGCCAUCAACCAACUCGGCCAAACACAAACCCAAUGUGGGCUAUCGCCUGGGCAAGAGAAAAGCUUUAUUCGAGAAGCGUAAACGCAUUAGCGACUAUGCCCUUGUCAUGGGCAUGUUCGGGAUCAUCGUGAUGGUGAUUGAAAACGAACUGAGCAGUGCCGGCGUCUACACAAAGGCAUCGUUUUACUCGACAGCGUUAAAAACCUUAAUAUCUGUUUCGACUGUGAUUCUCUUAGGACUUAUAGUAGCUUACCAUGCUUUGGAAGUGCAGAAUUCAUUAUUCAUGAUAGAUAACUGCGCUGACGAUUGGAGGAUCGCAAUGACAUGGCAACGAAUUAGUCAAAUAGGUUUAGAACUUUUUAUAUGCGCUAUACAUCCAAUUCCUGGUGAAUACUAUUUCCAGUGGACGACGAAAUUGGCCAAUAAAAAUAAAACAAUUGGCACUGAAAUGGUGCCAUACGACGUAGCUUUAUCAUUACCUAUGUUCCUUCGAUUAUAUUUAAUCUGCCGCGUUAUGCUGCUUCAUUCAAAGCUAUUCACAGACGCAUCAUCACGGAGCAUCGGCGCUCUCAAUAGGAUUAAUUUUAACACAAGAUUUGUUUUGAAAACACUAAUGACAAUAUGCCCGGGAACGGUUCUAUUGGUCUUUAUGGUCUCGCUGUGGAUCAUCGCAUCCUGGACGCUGCGGCAAUGCGAAAGGGUGCUGGCUGUACAGCGCUACUUGUGGCUGUGGUAUCCCGCAAGCUGGAGCUGACCCGUGCCGAGAAGCAUGUGCACAACUUCAUGAUGGACACGCAGUUAACAAAAAGGCUGAAAAAUGCUGCGGCGAAUGUUCUUCGUGAAACUUGGCUCAUUUACAAACAUACAAGACUAGUAAAACGGGUUAAUCCCGGC
RNAcentral lists this unclassified non-coding RNA (2845 nucleotides) under Drosophila virilis. RNAcentral describes it as "GJ14781". The record is from RNAcentral. Lineage: Eukaryota; Metazoa; Arthropoda; Insecta; Diptera; Drosophilidae.